AGACCCACGAUCCUGAGAUUAAGAAUCUCAUGCUCUACUGACUGAGCUAACUGGGCACAGGUCUUCCCGGAGUCGGGUUGCUUGGGAAUGCAGCCCAAAGCAGAUGGUAAACUCCAUCUAAGGCUAAAUACCACCACAAGACCAAUAGCCAACAAGUACUGUAAGG
Molecule: non-coding RNA, 166 nt
Filed under: Myotis lucifugus (little brown bat)
Lineage: Eukaryota; Metazoa; Chordata; Mammalia; Chiroptera; Vespertilionidae
Description: Eukaryotic large subunit ribosomal RNA
Rfam family: Eukaryotic large subunit ribosomal RNA
Source: Rfam by way of RNAcentral